RNAcentral lists this ribosomal RNA (468 nucleotides) under uncultured bacterium. RNAcentral describes it as "partial 16S ribosomal RNA". It matches the Rfam family "Bacterial small subunit ribosomal RNA", at positions 28 to 507 of the family's 1533-position model. The record is from RNAcentral.
GACGAACGCUGGCGGCGUGCUUAACGCAUGCAAGUCGAACGGAAAGGCCCUGCUUUUGUGGGGUGCUCGAGUGGCGAACGGGUGAGUAACACGUGAGUAACCUGCCCUUGACUUUGGGAUAACUUCAGGAAACUGGGGCUAAUACCGGAUAGGAGCUCCUGCUGCAUGGUGGGGGUUGGAAAGUUUCGGCGGUUGGGGAUGGACUCGCGGCUUAUCAGCUUGUUGGUGGGGUAGUGGCUUACCAAGGCUUUGACGGGUAGCCGGCCUGAGAGGGUGACCGGCCACAUUGGGACUGAGAUACGGCCCAGCCUCCUACGGGAGGCAGCAGUGGGGAAUAUUGCACAAUGGGCGGAAGCCUGAUGCAGCAACGCCGCGUGCGGGAUGACGGCCUUCGGGUUGUAAACCGCUUUCGCCUGUGACGAAGCGUGAGUGACGGUAAUGGGUAAAGAAGCACCGGCUAACUACGUG